Molecule: ribosomal RNA, 460 nt
Filed under: uncultured bacterium
Lineage: Bacteria
Description: partial 16S ribosomal RNA
Rfam family: Bacterial small subunit ribosomal RNA
Source: RNAcentral
CCUACGGGAGGCAGCAGUGAGGAAUAUUGGUCAAUGGGCGGGAGCCUGAACCAGCCAAGUCGCGUGAGGGAAGACGGUCCUAUGGAUUGUAAACCUCUUUAGGCGGGGAGCAAUGCCGGGCACGCGUGCCCGGAGGGAGAGUACCCGCAGAAUAAGCAUCGGCUAACUCCGUGCCAGCAGCCGCGGUAAUACGGAGGAUGCGAGCGUUAUCCGGAUUUAGUGGGUUUAAAGGGUGCGUAGGCGGAUUUUUAAGUCAGCGGUAAAAUGUCCGGGCUCAACCCGGGCCGGCCGUUGAAACUGGGGAUCUUGAGUGGGCGAGAAGUAUGCGGAAUGCGUGGUGUAGCGGUGAAAUGCAUAGAUAUCACGCAGAACUCCGAUCGCGAAGGCAGCAUACCGGCGCCCGACUGACGCUGAGGCACGAAAGCGUGGGGAUCGAACAGGAGUAGAUACCCGUGUAGUC